GACGAACGCUGGCGGCGUGCUUAACACAUGCAAGUCGAACGGAAAGGCCCUGCUUUUGUGUGGUUCUCGAUUGGCGAACGGGUGAGUAACACGCGAGUAACCUGCCCUUAUCUUUGGGAUAACUUCAGGAAACUGGGGCUAUUACCGGAUAGAAUCUCCUGCUGCAUGUUGUUGGUUGGAAAGUUUCGGCGGUUGGGGCUGGACUCGCGGCUUAUCCGCUGGUUUGUGGGGUAGUGGCUUACCAAGGCUUUGACGGAUAGCCGGCCUGAGAGGGUGACCGGCCACAUGGGGACUGCGAUACGGCCCAGACUGCAACGGGAGGCAGCAGUGGGGAAUAUUGCACAAUGGGCGGACGCCUGAUGCAGCAACGUCGCGUGCGUGAUGACGUCUUUUGGGUUGUAAACCGCUUUCGCCUGUGACGAAGCGUGAGUGACGGUAAUGGGUAAAGAAGCACCGGCUAACUACGUG
RNAcentral lists this ribosomal RNA (468 nucleotides) under uncultured bacterium. RNAcentral describes it as "partial 16S ribosomal RNA". It matches the Rfam family "Bacterial small subunit ribosomal RNA", at positions 28 to 507 of the family's 1533-position model. The record is from RNAcentral.